CAGGAAGCCUGCCUCUGCACCCUGGCUGCACCGCUGAACGGGGGCUGCCGGAGUGACAAGCAUAAUAUGGCAUCAGUGUGAUAUGGAAGUGACUGAGAAGCACUCAGCAGGAGAUUGUUUUGAGAAGAAUCAUGUCUCAGUACAGGCUGGCCAGCGUGGGGCGCUCUACCACACAUAUGGAUACUGGGAAUUCUCUCGAUCAUUGCCCUUUUCAAAGGGACCUUGCCUUCAUGUUGCACAAGUCAUUGAGCAAGGAGAGAUGGGGAGCAAUAAAGUCCAGCAUCUCACCUCCGGAGACUCAACAACUACCUUUUGUAUUAGUUCGUUUCUUCCAGGGCUGCAGGGGCUAGAAACUCAAAUACAAUCUAUUCUAUGCCACCUUCUGCUAAGAACUAAACAACAAAUUACACCUUUUGAAAAUAAAAAUGUAAAAUUUAUUUUGGGUCAACUGGAUGUAGAAAGAGGAGGUGUAUUCCCUCCAUUGUCCCUGGGCUUAGUCCCCUAUCAAUCAUGUGACAAUUUACUUUCAUUUCUGGAAAUCAGCAAUAUCAGAAAUGUGGACU
This is a long non-coding RNA of Dermochelys coriacea (leatherback sea turtle), 563 nucleotides long. RefSeq lists it as uncharacterized. The record is from RefSeq and is a predicted model, not a curated record. The transcript is spliced from 3 exons. Lineage: Eukaryota; Metazoa; Chordata; Testudines; Dermochelyidae.